GACGAACGCUGGCGGCGUGCUUAACACAUGCAAGUCGAACGGAAAGGCCUGCAGCUUGCUGCGGGUACUCGAGUGGCGAACGGGUGAGUAACACGUGGGUGAUCUGCCUUGCACUUCGGGAUAAGCUUGGGAAACUGGGUCUAAUACCGGAUAGGACAGCUGUUUAGUGUCAGUUGUGGAAAGUUUUUUCGGUGCAAGAUGAGCUCGCGGCCUAUCAGCUUGUUGGUGGGGUAAUGGCCUACCAAGGCGUCGACGGGUAGCCGGCCUGAGAGGGUGUACGGCCACAUUGGGACUGAGAUACGGCCCAGACUCCUACGGGAGGCAGCAGUGGGGAAUAUUGCACAAUGGGCGGAAGCCUGAUGCAGCGACGCCGCGUGGGGGAUGAAGGCCUUCGGGUUGUAAACUCCUUUCGACAGGGACGAAGCGUAAGUGACGGUACCUGUAUAAGAAGCACCGGCUAACUACGUGCCAGCAGCCGCGGUAAUACGUAGGGUGCGAGCGUUGUCCGGAAUUACUGGGCGUAAAGAGCUCGUAGGUGGUUUGUCGCGUCGUCUGUGAAACUCCGGGGCUUAACUCCGGGCGUGCAGGCGAUACGGGCUGACUUGAGUGCUGUAGGGGAGACUGGAAUUCCUGGUGUAGCGGUGAAAUGCGCAGAUAUCAGGAGGAACACCGAUGGCGAAGGCAGGUCUCUGGGCAGUAACUGACGCUGAGGAGCGAAAGCAUGGGUAGCGAACAGGAUUAGAUACCCUGGUAGUCCAUGCCGUAAACGGUGGGCGCUAGGUGUAGGGGGCUUCCACGUCUUCUGUGCCGUAGCUAACGCAUUAAGCGCCCCGCCUGGG
This 839-nucleotide ribosomal RNA is filed under the name uncultured Actinomycetes bacterium. Its description in RNAcentral is "bacterial SSU rRNA". It matches the Rfam family "Bacterial small subunit ribosomal RNA", at positions 28 to 877 of the family's 1533-position model. Lineage: Bacteria; Bacillati; Actinomycetota; Actinomycetes. The record is from RNAcentral.